AUGAACGCUGGCGGCAUGCCUAACACAUGCAAGUCGAUCGGUAAGGCUCUUCGGAGUACACGAGAGGCGGACGGCUGAGUAACGCGUAGGAACACACCCUGCAGUGAGGGAUAAGACACCGAAAGGUGUUCUAAUACCGCAUACGGUCUUCGGAUUAAAGCAUUUAUGCGCUGAAGGAGUGGCCUGCGUCAUAUUAGAUAGUUGGUGAGGUAAUGGCUCACCAAGUCGAUGAUGUGUAGCUGGUCUGAGAGGAUGAUCAGCCAGACUGGAACUGAGACACGGUCCAGACUCCUACGGGAAGCAGCAGUGAGGAAUAUUUCACAAUGAGCGAAAGCUUGAUGGAGCAAUGCCGCGUGCAGGAUGAAGGCCCUCGGGUUGUAAACUGCUUUUAUAAGAGAAGAUUAUGACGGUAACUUAUGAAUAAGGGACGGCUAACUACGUG
RNAcentral lists this ribosomal RNA (442 nucleotides) under uncultured bacterium. RNAcentral's name for it is "partial 16S ribosomal RNA". It matches the Rfam family "Bacterial small subunit ribosomal RNA", at positions 29 to 507 of the family's 1533-position model. The record is from RNAcentral.